Molecule: long non-coding RNA, 832 nt
Filed under: Zostera marina
Lineage: Eukaryota; Viridiplantae; Streptophyta; Magnoliopsida; Alismatales; Zosteraceae
Description: long non-coding RNA (ZMAR_LNC005486)
Source: RNAcentral
GCUCAUUUUCUUCAUGAUCCAUGGUUUGAAUUUGUUCUUAACUCUGAAAUUUAAGAAAACAAAUUCAGAUAUUAAAAUGUGAAAUUUAAGGGAAAAAAUUCAGAUGUUAGCUCUGAAUUCCCGAUUUAAUUUAACACUCCACCGACUGGAACUGUGGAACACUCUGAAUUCCAGAUUUAAUCCCCACUCUGAAAUACCUAACUUUGUGUAUUAAAGACACCAAUCCAAUGAAAUCAGCACACAAUAGAUCUCUCUAUUCACUCUAUAGUCUAUUCUAAAUCCAAUGAAAUCAGCAGUGCUUCAAAUUGUAUUUAUUUAUAGUCUAUAGUCUGAAAUCAGCAGUGCUUCUAUAGUCUAUUCACUCUAUAGUCUGAUUCAGCACCUCCUUCAAAUUGUAUUUAUUUAUAUCAAAAUACAGUACUACCUUGUAUUCUUGUAAUCGCUUCUUGUAUAUACAGUAUUUAUUUAUAUCAAAAUACAGUACUACCUUAUAUCAAAAUACACUACUAUCAAAUUGUAUUUAUUUAUAUUCAGCACCUCCUUCUAUAGUAUCAAUACCCAUCAAAAUAACUCACGAUUUCUACCUUGUUAGGUGUGUAACUGUAAUCGCGAGUUUAUACCCAUCUAGAAAGUAGAAACGCGAUUUCUACCUUGGAAGCAGCGGCCAGGAAACGCGAUUUCCUUCGUCGAUUUCAGUAGCAGAGGAAGCAGCAACAGAAAUCCUUGGGCGAUUUCACGAUUUCAGUAGCAGCGGAGCCGGAAGCAGGCAAGCAACUGAUUUCACGAUUUUAGUAGUAUACUAAUAUCGUUGUAAAUGAUUUAGGAUUUAGGU